UGGGGAAUCUUGCACAAUGGGGGAAACCCUGAUGCAGCGACGCCGCGUGAGCGAUGAAGGUUUUCGAAUCGUAAAGCUCUGUCCUAUGGGAAGAUAAUGACGGUACCAUGGGAGGAAGCCCCGGCUAACUACGUGCCAGCAGCCGCGGUAAUACGUAGGGGGCGAGCGUUGUCCGGAAUUACUGGGCGUAAAGGGUUCGCAGGCGGCAUGGCAAGUCCGAUGUAAAAGGCGAAGGCUCAACCUUCGUAAGCAUCGGAAACUGUCAAGCUUGAGUGAAUGAGAGGCAAGUGGAAUUCCUAGUGUAGCGGUGGAAUGCGUAGAUAUUAGGAGGAAUACCGGUGGCGAAGGCGACUUGCUGGACUUCAACUGACGCUGAGGAACGAAAGCGUGGGUAGCAAACAGG
RNAcentral lists this ribosomal RNA (403 nucleotides) under Fusobacteriota bacterium. RNAcentral's name for it is "Fusobacteria bacterium partial 16S ribosomal RNA". It matches the Rfam family "Bacterial small subunit ribosomal RNA", at positions 355 to 776 of the family's 1533-position model. The record is from RNAcentral. Lineage: Bacteria; Fusobacteriati; Fusobacteriota.